CCUACGGGAGGCAGCAGUGGGGAAUAUUGCACAAUGGGGGAAACCCUGAUGCAGCGACGCCGCGUGAGUGAAGAAGUAAUUCGUUACGUAAAGCUCUAUCAGCAGGGAAGAAACACUGACCUUACGGUCAGCAGACGGUACCUGAGUAAUAAGCCCCGGCUAACUACGUGCCAGCAGCCGCGGUAAUACGUAGGGGGCAAGCGUUAUCCGGAUUUACUGGGUGUAAAGGGAGCGUAGACGGUGCGCCAAGUCUGGAGUGAAAUGCCGCAGCUUAACUGCGGAACUGCUUUGGAAACUGGCGAACUAGAGUGCGGGAGGGGUAAGCGGGAUGCGUAGUGUAGCGGUGAAAUGCGUAGAUAUUAGGAGGAACACCGAUGGCGAAGGCGGCUUACUGGACCGUAACUGACGUUGAGGCUCGAAAGCGUGGGGAGCAAACAGGAUUAGAUACCCUUGUAGUC
RNAcentral lists this ribosomal RNA (458 nucleotides) under uncultured bacterium. Its description in RNAcentral is "partial 16S ribosomal RNA". It matches the Rfam family "Bacterial small subunit ribosomal RNA", at positions 338 to 795 of the family's 1533-position model. The record is from RNAcentral.